CCGCAUAAGCCCACGACCCGGCAUCGGGUAGAGGGAAAAGGAGCAAUCCGCUUUGAGAUGGCCUCGCGUCCGAUUAGCUAGUUGGUGAGGUAAUGGCCCACCAAGGCGACGAUCGGUAGCCGGACUGAGAGGUUGAACGGCCACAUUGGGACUGAGACACGGCCCAGACUCCUACGGGAGGCAGCAGUGGGGAAUAUUGCACAAUGGGGGAAACCCUGAUGCAGCGACGCCGCGUGGAGGAAGAAGGUCUUCGGAUUGUAAACUCCUGUUGUUGAGGAAGAUAAUGACGGUACUCAACAAGGAAGUGACGGCUAACUACGUGCCAGCAGCCGCGGUAAAACGUAGGUCACAAGCGUUGUCCGGAAUUACUGGGUGUAAAGGGAGCGCAGGCGGGAAGGCAAGUUGGAAGUGAAAUCCAUGGGCUCAACCCAUGAACUGCUUUCAAAACUGUUUUUCUUGAGUAGUGCAGAGGUAGGCGGAAUUCCCGGUGUAGCGGUGGAUGCGUAGAUAUCGGGAGGAACACCAGUGGCGAAGGCGGCCUACUGGGCACCAACUGACGCUGAGGCUCGAAAGUGUGGGUAGCAAACAGGAUUAGAUACCCUGGUAGUCCACACUGUAAACGAUGAUUACUAGGUGUUGGAGGAUUGACCCCUUCAGUGCCGCAGUUAACACAAUAAGUAAUCCACCUGGGGAGUACGACCGCAAGGUUGAAACUCAAAGGAAUUGACGGGGGCCCGCACAAGCAGUGGAGUAUGUGGUUUAAUUCGACCCAACGCGAAGAACCUUACCAAGUCUUGACAUCCUGCGACGGUGCUGGAAACAGUACUUUCCUUCGGGACGCAGAGACAGGUGGUGCAUGGUUGUCGUCAGCUCGUGUCGUGAGAUGUUGGGUUAAGUCCCGCAACGAGCGCAACCCUUAUGGUCAGUUACUACGCAAGAGGACUCUGGCCAGACUGCCGUUGACAAAACGGAGGAAGGUGGGGAUGACGUCAAAUCAUCACGCCCUUAUGACUUGGGCUACACACAUACUACAAUGGCGUUAAACAAAGAGAAGCAAGACCGCGAGGUGGAGCAAAACUCAGAAACAACGUCCCAGUUCGGACUGCAGGCUGCAACUCGCCUGCACGAAGUCGGAAUUGCUAGUAAUCGCAGAUCAGCAUGCUGCGGUGAAUACGUUCCCGGGCCUUGUACACACCGCCCGUCACACCAUGAGAGCCGGGGGGACCCGAAGUCGGUAGUCUAACCGCAAGGAGGACGCCGCCGAAGGUAAAACUGGUGAUUGGGGUGAAGUCGUAACAAGGUA
Molecule: ribosomal RNA, 1303 nt
Filed under: metagenome
Description: bacterial SSU rRNA
Rfam family: Bacterial small subunit ribosomal RNA
Source: RNAcentral